GCAGGCAUUUGCAAGGAAGAACUGAGAGACCAGACAGUGAUUUGUUUUUUCUUUCUACAUCAGCACAGUUUUAGAAAUUAGAUAAUUGUGAAUGUGUAGACUGGGCACUAGAUUCAGUGACAAAUCUGAGAAAGGAAUCCUGAUUACUUACUGCAAGUCACAGAAUCCUGUGAUGUGGAUCUAAUUAUUUUGAAGCAAAUCUCCCAGUAGGAUUUAGAAGGAUACCUAAUAUGGUACAGUUUCCAACACACAUUCAGUUCAUGGAACCAGACAACAGCUACUCCAAAAAGAAAUACUAGUGUCAAGAUUACCGAAGCUGUGUUUGGAAGGAAAAGUUCACUUCUUCAUAAACGGUGUUGAAGAGAUGUGUUAUCUUUCUCAGGUAAUACUGUUGUGAUAAAAAUUCUUGUCUAUGACAGCUGGGCUACUCCAGAAUAAUACAUUGUGAGAGAAGUGGGAGAACUCUUCAAG
This 471-nucleotide long non-coding RNA is filed under the name Anas platyrhynchos platyrhynchos (common mallard). RNAcentral's name for it is "lncRNA (ENSAPLG00000025915.1)". Lineage: Eukaryota; Metazoa; Chordata; Aves; Anseriformes; Anatidae. The record is from RNAcentral.